UGGUGACAGCGGAGGGAUCAUUA
RNAcentral lists this ribosomal RNA (23 nucleotides) under Fusarium thapsinum. RNAcentral describes it as "partial 18S ribosomal RNA". Lineage: Eukaryota; Fungi; Ascomycota; Sordariomycetes; Hypocreales; Nectriaceae. The record is from RNAcentral.